UAGUCCAUGCCGUAAACGAUGGAUACUAGUCGUCGGGACACCUAAUUGUUUCGGUGACGUCGCUAACGCUUUAAGUAUCCCGCCUGGGGAGUACGGUCGCAAGAUUAAAACUCAAAGGAAUUGACGGGGGCCCGCACAAGCGGUGGAGCAUGUGGUUUAAUUCGAUGCAACGCGAGGAACCUUACCUGGGCUCGAACGCUAUCGGACAACCCCUGAAAGGGGGCUUUCUUCGGAUCGAUAGUGAGGUGCUGCAUGGCUGUCGUCAGUUCGUGUCGUGAGAUGUUGGGUUAAGUCCCGCAACGAACGCAACCCCUAUCGUUAGUUACCAGCGGGUCAUGCCGGGGACUCUAGCGAGACUGCCUGCGCAAGCAGUGAGGAAGGUGGGGACGACGUCAAGUCAUCAUGGCCCUUACGCCCAGGGCUGCACACGUGCUACAAUGGACGGUACAACAGGCUGCCACUUCGCAAGAAGGAGCUAAUCCCUAAAGCCGUUCUCAGUUCGGAUCGGAGUCUGCAACUCG
RNAcentral lists this ribosomal RNA (521 nucleotides) under uncultured bacterium. Its description in RNAcentral is "bacterial SSU rRNA". It matches the Rfam family "Bacterial small subunit ribosomal RNA", at positions 791 to 1314 of the family's 1533-position model. The record is from RNAcentral.